CUAACAAGGAUUCCCCUAGUAACUGCGAGUGAAGCGGGAAAAGCUCAAAUUUAAAAUCUGGUGGUCAUGUGACACCCGAGUUGUAAUCUAGAGAAGUGUUGUCCGCGCUGGACCGUGUAAAAGUCUCCUGGAAUGGCAGCGUCAUAGAGGGUGAGAAUCCCGUCUUUGACACGGACUGCCGGGGCAUUGCGACGCGCUCUCAAAGAGUCGAGUUGUUUGGGAAUGCAGCUCAAAAUGGGUGGUAAAUUCCAUCUAAAGCUAAAUAUUGGCGAGAGACCGAUAGCGAACAAGUACCGUGAGGGAAAGGUGAAAAGAACUUUGGAAAGAGAGUUAAWCAGUACGUGAAAUUGCUGAAAGGGAAACGCUUCAAGUCAGUCACGUCGGCCGGAAUUCAGCUAGGUUUUGGGUUUCCAUAACCCCCUUGAGUGUAUUUUCCGCCCGACGGGUCAGCAUCAAUUUUGACCAUUGGAUAAGAACAAGAGGAAUGUGGCAUUUUUUUGAAAUGUGUUUAUAGCCUGUUGGAGAUACAGUGGUUGGGAUUGAGGAACUCGGCACAUCAGUUGGCCUUUUGGCCCACCUUGUGUUCAGGAUGCUGGCAUAAUGGCUUGAAUCGACCCGUCUUGAAACACGGACCAAGGAGUCUAACAUGCCUGCGAGUGUUUGGGUGGAAAACCCAGACGCGCAAUGAAAGUGAAAGUUGAGAUCCUUGUUACGGAGGAGCAUCGACGCCCAGACCUGACGUUCUCUGACGGUUCUGCGGUAGAGCAUGCAUGUUGGGACCCGAAAGAUGGUGAACUAUGCCUGAAUAGGGUGAAGCCAGUGGAAACUCUGGUGGAGGCUCGUAGCGAUUCUGACGUGCAAAUCGAUCGUCAAAUUUGGGUAUAGGGGCGAAAGACUAAUCGAACCAU
Molecule: ribosomal RNA, 908 nt
Filed under: Dissoderma stuntzii
Lineage: Eukaryota; Fungi; Basidiomycota; Agaricomycetes; Agaricales
Description: partial large subunit ribosomal RNA
Source: RNAcentral